GGCCUGAUGGUCUAGCGGUAUGAUUCUUGCUUCGGGAUUGACAUCUCGGUUCUUCACAAGGAGAACUAAAGUUUGCGAGAGGUCCCGGGUUCAAUCCCCGGUCAGGCCC
RNAcentral lists this transfer RNA (109 nucleotides) under Fusarium torreyae. RNAcentral's name for it is "tRNA-Pro". It matches the Rfam family "tRNA". From Rfam's summary of the family: Transfer RNA (tRNA) molecules are approximately 80 nucleotides in length. Their secondary structure includes four short double-helical elements and three loops (D, anti-codon, and T loops). Lineage: Eukaryota; Fungi; Ascomycota; Sordariomycetes; Hypocreales; Nectriaceae. The record is from RNAcentral.